AUGAAUGAUUAUUGCUGCUUUCUUUGUGCUCAUGGCACUAAAGAAACUCUGCUUCAUCUUAUCUGGGAUUGUGAUUUUGCUCUAAGGUGCUGGGAUUUCUUGAUCCCCAACAGAAACAGAGGCCUUUCUUUUUUAUUACGACUCUAUCCUGGCUCUUGGACAGCUCCCACUACAUAUAGCCAUGGAUAUAAUUACUCAUGCUUGCUGGAACAUCUGGAUGCAGCGCAAUGGGAAGGUUUUCAGAAAUGCAGCCCCUUUGGUUCAAGCAUGGAAGCACUCUUUUCAGAGAAGAUCUUGAACUGCUAG
This 306-nucleotide ribosomal RNA is filed under the name Triticum aestivum (bread wheat). RNAcentral's name for it is "partial small subunit ribosomal RNA". The record is from RNAcentral. Lineage: Eukaryota; Viridiplantae; Streptophyta; Magnoliopsida; Poales; Poaceae.